RNAcentral lists this ribosomal RNA (2187 nucleotides) under Salmonella enterica subsp. enterica serovar Enteritidis. RNAcentral's name for it is "partial 23S ribosomal RNA". It matches the Rfam family "Bacterial large subunit ribosomal RNA", at positions 632 to 2803 of the family's 2925-position model. Lineage: Bacteria; Pseudomonadati; Pseudomonadota; Gammaproteobacteria; Enterobacterales; Enterobacteriaceae. The record is from RNAcentral.
AUUCUGUAGCAAGGUUAACCGAAUAGGGGAGCCGGAGGGAAACCGAGUCUUAAUUGGGCGUUAAGUUGCAGGGUAUAGACCCGAAACCCGGUGAUCUAGCCAUGGGCAGGUUGAAGGUUGGGUAACACUAACUGGAGGACCGAACCGACUAAUGUUGAAAAAUUAGCGGAUGACCUGUGGCUGGGGGUGAAAGGCCAAUCAAACCGGGAGAUAGCUGGUUCUCCCCGAAAGCUAUUUAGGUAGCGCCUCGUGAAUUCAUCUCCGGGGGUAGAGCACUGUUUCGGCUAGGGGGCCAUCCCGGCUUACCAACCCGAUGCAAACUGCGAAUACCGGAGAAUGUUAUCACGGGAGACACACGGCGGGUGCUAACGUCCGUCGUGAAGAGGGAAACAACCCAGACCGCCAGCUAAGGUCCCAAAGUCAUGGUUAAGUGGGAAACGAUGUGGGAAGGCCCAGACAGCCAGGAUGUUGGCUUAGAAGCAGCCAUCAUUUAAAGAAAGCGUAAUAGCUCACUGGUCGAGUCGGCCUGCGCGGAAGAUGUAACGGGGCUAAACCAUGCACCGAAGCUGCGGCAGCGACACUGUGUGUUGUUGGGUAGGGGAGCGUUCUGUAAGCCUGCGAAGGUGGCCUGUGAGGGUUGCUGGAGGUAUCAGAAGUGCGAAUGCUGACAUAAGUAACGAUAAAGCGGGUGAAAAGCCCGCUCGCCGGAAGACCAAGGGUUCCUGUCCAACGUUAAUCGGGGCAGGGUGAGUCGACCCCUAAGGCGAGGCCGAAAGGCGUAGUCGAUGGGAAACGGGUUAAUAUUCCCGUACUUGGUGUUACUGCGAAGGGGGGACGGAGAAGGCUAUGUUGGCCGGGCGACGGUUGUCCCGGUUUAAGCGUGUAGGUGUGUGUUCCAGGUAAAUCCGGUUCACUUUAACACUGAGGCGUGACGACGAGGCACUACGGUGCUGAAGCAACAAAUGCCCUGCUUCCAGGAAAAGCCUCUAAGCAUCAGGUAACAUCAAAUCGUACCCCAAACCGACACAGGUGGUCAGGUAGAGAAUACCAAGGCGCUUGAGAGAACUCGGGUGAAGGAACUAGGCAAAAUGGUGCCGUAACUUCGGGAGAAGGCACGCUGACACGUAGGUGAAGUGAUUUACUCAUGGAGCUGAAGUCAGUCGAAGAUACCAGCUGGCUGCAACUGUUUAUUAAAAACACAGCACUGUGCAAACACGAAAGUGGACGUAUACGGUGUGACGCCUGCCCGGUGCCGGAAGGUUAAUUGAUGGGGUCAGCGCAAGCGAAGCUCCUGAUCGAAGCCCCGGUAAACGGCGGCCGUAACUAUAACGGUCCUAAGGUAGCGAAAUUCCUUGUCGGGUAAGUUCCGACCUGCACGAAUGGCGUAAUGAUGGCCAGGCUGUCUCCACCCGAGACUCAGUGAAAUUGAACUCGCUGUGAAGAUGCAGUGUACCCGCGGCAAGACGGAAAGACCCCGUGAACCUUUACUAUAGCUUGACACUGAACAUUGAGCCUUGAUGUGUAGGAUAGGUGGGAGGCUUUGAAGUGUGGACGCCAGUCUGCAUGGAGCCGACCUUGAAAUACCACCCUUUAAUGUUUGAUGUUCUAACGUGGACCCGUUACCCGGGUUGCGGACAGUGUCUGGUGGGUAGUUUGACUGGGGCGGUCUCCUCCUAAAGAGUAACGGAGGAGCACGAAGGUUGGCUAAUCCUGGUCGGACAUCAGGAGGUUAGUGCAAUGGCAUAAGCCAGCUUGACUGCGAGCGUGACGGCGCGAGCAGGUGCGAAAGCAGGUCAUAGUGAUCCGGUGGUUCUGAAUGGAAGGGCCAUCGCUCAACGGAUAAAAGGUACUCCGGGGAUAACAGGCUGAUACCGCCCAAGAGUUCAUAUCGACGGCGGUGUUUGGCACCUCGAUGUCGGCUCAUCACAUCCUGGGGCUGAAGUAGGUCCCAAGGGUAUGGCUGUUCGCCAUUUAAAGUGGUACGCGAGCUGGGUUUAGAACGUCGUGAGACAGUUCGGUCCCUAUCUGCCGUGGGCGCUGGAGAACUGAGGGGGGCUGCUCCUAGUACGAGAGGACCGGAGUGGACGCAUCACUGGUGUUCGGGUUGUCAUGCCAAUGGCACUGCCCGGUAGCUAAAUGCGGAAGAGAUAAGUGCUGAAAGCAUCUAAGCACGAAACUUGCCCCGAG